Molecule: ribosomal RNA, 300 nt
Filed under: uncultured Alteromonadaceae bacterium
Lineage: Bacteria; Pseudomonadati; Pseudomonadota; Gammaproteobacteria; Alteromonadales; Alteromonadaceae
Description: bacterial SSU rRNA
Rfam family: Bacterial small subunit ribosomal RNA
Source: RNAcentral
CGCGUGGGAAUCUACCGAGUAGUGGGGGAUAACUUGUGGAAACGCAAGCUAAUACCGCAUACGUCCUAUGGGAGAAAGGGGGCUUCGGCUCUCGCUAUUUGAUGAGCCCGCGUUAGAUUAGCUAGUUGGUGAGGUAAAGGCUCACCAAGGCGACGAUCUAUAGCUGGUCUGAGAGGAUGAUCAGCCACACUGGGACUGAGACACGGCCCAGACUCCUACGGGAGGCAGCAGUGGGGAAUAUUGCACAAUGGGGGAAACCCUGAUGCAGCCAUGCCGCGUGUGUGAAGAAGGCUCUAGGGU